This 206-nucleotide long non-coding RNA is filed under the name Mytilus galloprovincialis (Mediterranean mussel). The record is from RNAcentral. Lineage: Eukaryota; Metazoa; Mollusca; Bivalvia; Mytilida; Mytilidae.
CAAGGAGCAAACAUCAAACAAUAUAGUCAGUUAUGAUAGACCUCGACAUGACAAAAUGAGAAAAAAUAAGAAUAGAAAUAUAUGGCUUAAUUUAUAUGCUACAAGACAAAAUUGCUAAAGUUAAGGUAAACACAAAUUUGACAGAGAGCAACCAACAACUAAAUUACAGAGUCCUGACGUAGGACAGGUGUAGAAAAAUAUGACGG